RNAcentral lists this ribosomal RNA (2392 nucleotides) under Staphylococcus aureus PLAC6019. Its description in RNAcentral is "bacterial LSU rRNA". It matches the Rfam family "Bacterial large subunit ribosomal RNA", at positions 526 to 2925 of the family's 2925-position model. Lineage: Bacteria; Bacillati; Bacillota; Bacilli; Caryophanales; Staphylococcaceae. The record is from RNAcentral.
CCGGAAGGGGAGUGAAAUAGAACCUGAAACCGUGUGCUUACAAGUAGUCAGAGCCCGUUAAUGGGUGAUGGCGUGCCUUUUGUAGAAUGAACCGGCGAGUUACGAUUUGAUGCAAGGUUAAGCAGUAAAUGUGGAGCCGUAGCGAAAGCGAGUCUGAAUAGGGCGUUUAGUAUUUGGUCGUAGACCCGAAACCAGGUGAUCUACCCUUGGUCAGGUUGAAGUUCAGGUAACACUGAAUGGAGGACCGAACCGACUUACGUUGAAAAGUGAGCGGAUGAACUGAGGGUAGCGGAGAAAUUCCAAUCGAACCUGGAGAUAGCUGGUUCUCUCCGAAAUAGCUUUAGGGCUAGCCUCAAGUGAUGAUUAUUGGAGGUAGAGCACUGUUUGGACGAGGGGCCCCUCUCGGGUUACCGAAUUCAGACAAACUCCGAAUGCCAAUUAAUUUAACUUGGGAGUCAGAACAUGGGUGAUAAGGUCCGUGUUCGAAAGGGAAACAGCCCAGACCACCAGCUAAGGUCCCAAAAUAUAUGUUAAGUGGAAAAGGAUGUGGCGUUGCCCAGACAACUAGGAUGUUGGCUUAGAAGCAGCCAUCAUUUAAAGAGUGCGUAAUAGCUCACUAGUCGAGUGACACUGCGCCGAAAAUGUACCGGGGCUAAACAUAUUACCGAAGCUGUGGAUUGUCCUUUGGACAAUGGUAGGAGAGCGUUCUAAGGGCGUUGAAGCAUGAUCGUAAGGACAUGUGGAGCGCUUAGAAGUGAGAAUGCCGGUGUGAGUAGCGAAAGACGGGUGAGAAUCCCGUCCACCGAUUGACUAAGGUUUCCAGAGGAAGGCUCGUCCGCUCUGGGUUAGUCGGGUCCUAAGCUGAGGCCGACAGGCGUAGGCGAUGGAUAACAGGUUGAUAUUCCUGUACCACCUAUAAUCGUUUUAAUCGAUGGGGGGACGCAGUAGGAUAGGCGAAGCGUGCGAUUGGAUUGCACGUCUAAGCAGUAAGGCUGAGUAUUAGGCAAAUCCGGUACUCGUUAAGGCUGAGCUGUGAUGGGGAGAAGACAUUGAGUCUUCGAGUCGUUGAUUUCACACUGCCGAGAAAAGCCUCUAGAUAGAAAAUAGGUGCCCGUACCGCAAACCGACACAGGUAGUCAAGAUGAGAAUUCUAAGGUGAGCGAGCGAACUCUCGUUAAGGAACUCGGCAAAAUGACCCCGUAACUUCGGGAGAAGGGGUGCUCUUUAGGGUUAACGCCCAGAAGAGCCGCAGUGAAUAGGCCCAAGCGACUGUUUAUCAAAAACACAGGUCUCUGCUAAACCGUAAGGUGAUGUAUAGGGGCUGACGCCUGCCCGGUGCUGGAAGGUUAAGAGGAGUGGUUAGCUUCUGCGAAGCUACGAAUCGAAGCCCCAGUAAACGGCGGCCGUAACUAUAACGGUCCUAAGGUAGCGAAAUUCCUUGUCGGGUAAGUUCCGACCCGCACGAAAGGCGUAACGAUUUGGGCACUGUCUCAACGAGAGACUCGGUGAAAUCAUAGUACCUGUGAAGAUGCAGGUUACCCGCGACAGGACGGAAAGACCCCGUGGAGCUUUACUGUAGCCUGAUAUUGAAAUUCGGCACAGCUUGUACAGGAUAGGUAGGAGCCUUUGAAACGUGAGCGCUAGCUUACGUGGAGGCGCUGGUGGGAUACUACCCUAGCUGUGUUGGCUUUCUAACCCGCACCACUUAUCGUGGUGGGAGACAGUGUCAAGCGGGCAGUUUGACUGGGGCGGUCGCCUCCUAAAAGGUAACGGAGGCGCUCAAAGGUUCCCUCAGAAUGGUUGGAAAUCAUUCAUAGAGUGCAAAGGCAUAAGGGAGCUUGACUGCGAGACCUACAAGUCGAGCAGGGUCGAAAGACGGACUUAGUGAUCCGGUGGUUCCGCAUGGAAGGGCCAUCGCUCAACGGAUAAAAGCUACCCCGGGGAUAACAGGCUUAUCUCCCCCAAGAGUUCACAUCGACGGGGAGGUUUGGCACCUCGAUGUCGGCUCAUCGCAUCCUGGGGCUGUAGUCGGUCCCAAGGGUUGGGCUGUUCGCCCAUUAAAGCGGUACGCGAGCUGGGUUCAGAACGUCGUGAGACAGUUCGGUCCCUAUCCGUCGUGGGCGUAGGAAAUUUGAGAGGAGCUGUCCUUAGUACGAGAGGACCGGGAUGGACAUACCUCUGGUGUACCAGUUGUCGUGCCAACGGCAUAGCUGGGUAGCUAUGUGUGGACGGGAUAAGUGCUGAAAGCAUCUAAGCAUGAAGCCCCCCUCAAGAUGAGAUUUCCCAACUUCGGUUAUAAGAUCCCUCAAAGAUGAUGAGGUUAAUAGGUUCGAGGUGGAAGCAUGGUGACAUGUGGAGCUGACGAAUACUAAUCGAUCGAAGACUUAAUCAA